CAAAUCAUCAUGCCCCUUAUGACCUGGGCUACACACGUGCUACAAUGGAUAGUACAAAGGGUCGCGAAGCCGCGAGGUGGAGCUAAUCCCAUAAAACUAUUCUCAGUUCGGAUUGUAGGCUGCAACUCGCCUACAUGAAGCCGGAAUCGCUAGUAAUCGUGGAUCAGCAUGCCACGGUGAAUACGUUCCCGGGCCUUGUACACACCGCCCGUCACACCACGAGAGUUUGUAACACCCGAAGUCGGUAGGGUAACCUUUAUGGAGCCAGCCGCCGAAGGUGGGACAGAUAAUUGGGGUGAAGUCGUAACAAGGUAGCCGUAUCGGAAGGUGCGGCUGGAUCACCUCCUUUCUAAGGAA
This 357-nucleotide ribosomal RNA is filed under the name Listeria monocytogenes. RNAcentral describes it as "bacterial SSU rRNA". It matches the Rfam family "Bacterial small subunit ribosomal RNA", at positions 1186 to 1533 of the family's 1533-position model. Lineage: Bacteria; Bacillati; Bacillota; Bacilli; Caryophanales; Listeriaceae. The record is from RNAcentral.